GACAGAGGCCUCGAGCGUUAGGCGGAAUCACUGGGCUUAAAGCGUGUGUAGGCGGAUCGUUAAGUACCUUGUGAAAUCCCACGGCUCAACCGUGGAACGGCUGGGUAUACUGGCGGUCUUGGGCCAUUCAGGGGCGACUGGAACAAGCGGUGGAGCGGUGAAAUGCGUAGAUAUCAGGAGGAACACCGGUGGCGAAGGCGGGUCUCUGGGCCGAUAUUGACGCUGAGGAGCGAAAGCGUGGGGAGCGAACAGG
RNAcentral lists this ribosomal RNA (253 nucleotides) under uncultured bacterium. RNAcentral describes it as "partial 16S ribosomal RNA". It matches the Rfam family "Bacterial small subunit ribosomal RNA", at positions 524 to 776 of the family's 1533-position model. The record is from RNAcentral.